UCGUAGGAUUUGAGUGUGAUUGAAGAAAUUUUCCUUGGGGGAAUUCAUGCUGGAGCAUCACUGAACUCGUCUAUGGCUAUUCCCUAGCGAUUUCCUCUCUCAAAUUUGUGUUUAUCUUGGAGCAUUGAUUUAACAUUUUUGUUCUUUCUUAUCUGCAGGAUUUAAAGGUUGUUCUAGGUCCUUGCAGGAUUAAGCCUAACAAAACAGAGAUUUGUGAUUAAAAGUUGGUUCAAGGUUCUUGCAAUAUUAAGCCUAGCAAAACAGAUUCGUGGGCAGCAAGGAAAGGAAGGUGUUGUAGUUCAGAAAAUCCAAAAACAACUAGGAGAUUGUCGAGCUCUAGUGUAAGGUAAGUUCAACUAAUUUACCUUGUUUCCGGUUCAAUUGUGUGUUUGUUCAUUAUCUUUGAGUGUAUGCAGCAAAGUUUUUAUGCUUGUUAUAUGUUCUUAGAAGCUCUAUCAUAUCCGUAAUAACACACAUGGAUAAAUCGUGGAUCGACAAUGUGGCUAGGUACAAUACAACUUUUUUUCACAAUAACUAAAAAAAUGUGCUACGUGGUUAUCUUGAUAUUUAACAUAGAAAUUGCAUGUAGGGAGACAAAGGCCUAUACACAAGGGGUGAAUAGUUUUCUAGCUUUUGCAUUAAAAAAUUCAGCGGUAGGAAGCAAGAUUUUAUGCCCUUGUAGGAAGUGUGUCAACUCAUUUUGGCGGGAGGCUAUUGAAGUUCGAGAACACUUGAUUUGUGAUGGAUUUUUAAAAGGGUAUAGAACAUGGACCUUACAUGGAGAAGCUAGUUCCUCUGUAUUGAACAAUGAAAAUGGUGAUGUCCCUGAGUUCAUUGAGGUGCAUGACGAAGAAGAUGACAUAUCUGAGUUGAUUAAGGAUUUAGCAUGUGGUUUAGAUGAUAGAGGAGAUAUGGAAGAUGAUGGGUCUUUUGAUCCAUUUGAUAAAGAUGUAGCUACCAUUCGUAGGCUAGCAGCAGACAACAGUCAAGAAUUGUACCCAGGUUGCAAUAAGUACUCAAAGCUACGCUUUCUAGUUCGUUUACUUCACAUAAAACUUCUUGGAGGAUGGACGGAUAGAAGUUUUAAUUUGUUGGUUGAUCUACUUGUUGAUGCGUUGCCUAAGG
This is a long non-coding RNA of Zea mays, 1125 nucleotides long. RefSeq lists it as uncharacterized. The record is from RefSeq and is a predicted model, not a curated record. NCBI's taxonomy places the organism in Eukaryota, Viridiplantae, Streptophyta, Magnoliopsida, Poales, Poaceae. The transcript has 3 exons.